This 162-nucleotide small RNA is filed under the name Pseudarthrobacter phenanthrenivorans. RNAcentral describes it as "c-di-AMP sequence". It matches the Rfam family "c-di-AMP riboswitch aptamer (ydaO/yuaA leader)". From Rfam's summary of the family: This family represents a conserved RNA structure found upstream of the ydaO and yuaA genes in Bacillus subtilis and related genes in other bacteria. The ydaO/yuaA element is thought to act as a genetic "off" switch for the ydaO and yuaA genes in its native state. The record is from RNAcentral. Lineage: Bacteria; Bacillati; Actinomycetota; Actinomycetes; Micrococcales; Micrococcaceae.
CUCUGCCGCUUCCCGGAUUCCGCUUGAGCAAAGGCAGAGGCGGGGGACCCAACCGUCCCGGGCAUUGACUGCCCUUGGGGUUAAGCCAGCACGUGAUCUUUCCGUGUGGCCGGAUGCCCUCAUCCGAACCCGACAGCUAACUCCGCAGGUGUGAGAGGCGAU